GCCGGCGUAGCUCAGUUGGUAGAGCAGGGGUUUUGUAAACCUCUGGUCGGGGGUUCAAGUCCUCUCGCCGGCUCCA
This 76-nucleotide transfer RNA is filed under the name Candidatus Ghiorseimicrobium undicola. RNAcentral describes it as "Candidatus Omnitrophica bacterium CG11_big_fil_rev_8_21_14_0_20_42_13 tRNA-Thr". It matches the Rfam family "tRNA". Rfam says of the family: Transfer RNA (tRNA) molecules are approximately 80 nucleotides in length. Their secondary structure includes four short double-helical elements and three loops (D, anti-codon, and T loops). Lineage: Bacteria; Pseudomonadati; Candidatus Omnitrophota. The record is from RNAcentral.